Molecule: ribosomal RNA, 502 nt
Filed under: uncultured bacterium
Lineage: Bacteria
Description: partial 16S ribosomal RNA
Rfam family: Bacterial small subunit ribosomal RNA
Source: RNAcentral
GACGAACGCUGGCGGCGUGCUUAACACAUGCAAGUCGAACGGUGAAGGGGUCUGCUUUUGUGGGCCCUGGAUGAGUGGCGAACGGGUGAGUAACACGUGAGUAACCUGCCCCCUUCUUCUGGAUAACCGCAUGAAAGUGUGGCUAAUACGGGAUAUUCUGGGUCUGUAGCAUGAUGGGUCUGGGAAAGAUUGCGCCUUUGGGUGUUUUUGGUGGGGGAUGGGCUCGCGGCCUAUCAGCUUGUUGGUGGGGUGAUGGCCUACCAAGGCGGUGACGGGUAGCCGGCCUGAGAGGGUGGACGGUCACACUGGGACUGAGACACGGCCCAGACUCCUACGGGAGGCAGCAGUGGGGAAUAUUGCACAAUGGGCGCAAGCCUGAUGCAGCGACGCCGCGUGAGGGAGGGAGGCCUUCGGGUUGUAAACCUCUUUCGCCAGUGAAGCAGGCCUGCUCCUUGUGGGUGGGUUGACGGUAGCUGGAUAAGAAGCGCCGGCUAACUACGUG